Molecule: ribosomal RNA, 495 nt
Filed under: uncultured bacterium
Lineage: Bacteria
Description: partial 16S ribosomal RNA
Rfam family: Bacterial small subunit ribosomal RNA
Source: RNAcentral
AUGAACGCUGGCGGCGUGCCUAAUACAUGCAAGUCGAGCGAACGGACGAGAAGCUUGCUUCUCUGAUGUUAGCGGCGGACGGGUGAGUAACACGUGGAUAACCUACCUAUAAGACUGGGAUAACUUCGGGAAACCGGAGCUAAUACCGGAUAAUAUUUUGAACCGCAUGGUUCAAAAGUGAAAGACGGUCUUGCUGUCACUUAUAGAUGGAUCCGCGCUGCAUUAGCUAGUUGGUAAGGUAACGGCUUACCAAGGCAACGAUGCAUAGCCGACCUGAGAGGGUGAUCGGCCACACUGAAACUGAGACACGGUCCAGACUCCUACGGGAGGCAGCAGUAGGGAAUCUUCGCAAUGGGCGAAAGCCUGACGGAGCAACGCCGCGUGAGUGAUGAAGGUCUUCGGAUCGUAAAACUCUGUUAUUAGGGAAGAACAUAUGUGUAAGUAACUGUGCACAUCUUGACGGUACCUAAUCAGAAAGCCACGGCUAACUACGUG